RNAcentral lists this long non-coding RNA (3273 nucleotides) under Vitis vinifera (wine grape). RNAcentral describes it as "long non-coding RNA (VVIN_LNC000972)". Lineage: Eukaryota; Viridiplantae; Streptophyta; Magnoliopsida; Vitales; Vitaceae. The record is from RNAcentral.
AAGGUACAACAAAGCAAAUAUGCUCUUCUGAUCUUUGGUUCAGUUAUUAUUCCCUCGGGAUAUGUUCUAAAAGCAAAAAAUGCCAUGUGCUACCUGAAAACAUAUAUGUCAAUGUGUAUGAAGCCUGGCUUGUUUCAUGCUGCAUCAUCUGCAUUGUAGUUUGAUUUAUUUUCUGGUCCCCUUUUGGAUACCUCCCAUCCACUGGACAGCAAUACCAAUGCAGAGUACUUGUUAGAGAUGUCCUAGUUAUUUGGGGUACCUAUGAUAAGUGUCACCAUCCAAUAUGGGCAUAUUAGUGUCAAACAGCUGCUUUCCAGUAUAUAGGCACAGGAUCAAGUUUAGAUAUGUGCUUUGUGACUGUUAGAUGAGUUUCUGUUAAUGUGGAAGAACUGUGUACAGUAAAAUGUGAAAGAAAGUGCAUCGCUGUUGGUUUUGCAACAAUAAUGGUGUGCACACCCAUUCUUCAUAAUUUGAAGUAAGUAGAGGUAAUCUUUUGUAAAUUUCCAAUCUGGUCUUGGACACAGUUGGGCAUGGAUUUCUUCCAGCAUUUAAGUUACAAAACAAAAGGAGGAAUUGGCUAGCCAUAUUCUUAUUCAUUGUGGAUGGGCUUCUAAUUUGUGGUCUUUGGUAUUCUCCUUGUGCGAGGUGCCUUUGGCUCUGCCCGUGGCAGCUAGAGACAUUUUAUUGAGUAGGCAUGGCAAUUUCAAGGGAAAGAGAUGCAAGGCAGUAUGGAAAAUGGCUUGUUUGCCUUUGUUUUGAAUAAUAUGAGAAAGAGGAAUUAAGAGAUCUUUUGAUGGGUUAAAGCAGUCAAUUUUAGCUGUAAAGAGGGAGUUCCUUAAAACUCUGUUUGUGUAGUAUAGAAGUUGGAUGAUGGAUGUAGACAGUCUCCAUUGUUGAUUUUGUAGAUGGUUUAGGGUACUUUUGAAUCAUAUGGUUCAUGCUUUUCUUAUUAUUCUGUUGGUCAUGUGUGCCUUGUCUACUUCUUGUGUACUUGGAUCAUGCCUCCUUUUUGUGAGAUGCAUUUUGUAUAUACAUAUGAACUAUAUCAAUCCAUCUUGAAUAUCAUGAUGAAUGGUUUAUCUAAAGUUGAUCCAGGUGAUUCCUGAGUGGCAACUUUGGGUGGAUGACCUGCUAAUUUGCAUAUUUUUAUUCUUUUCAGGGUAAAGAGUCAGUUGAAAAGGAUUGCUCGACCAAUGUACUCAAAUCCUCCUAUUCAUGGAGCUAGGAUUGUUGCCAAUGUUGUUGGUGAUCCAGCUCUCUUCAAUGAAUGGAAAGAGGAGAUGGAAUUGAUGGCUGGAAGGAUAAAGAAUGUGAGACAGAAACUAUUUGACAGCCUCUCUGCAAAAGAUAAGUGUGGAAAGGAUUGGUCAUUUAUACUAAAGCAGAUUGGCAUGUUCUCAUUCACAGGGCUGAGCAAAGUUCAGGUAAUGCUCUCUCAACUUUUCUUAUCAGCAUUGAACUUUAUGCUUAUAUUUUUUAUUUUUUUUUAUAGGAAACGACAAAGGAAAAUAUUGAUAGAAAAAUAAAGUACAAGAGAAGGAUGAGGAAUCCUCCCACCAAAGAAAACUAAACUACAAGAAUACGAAAACAAAGAAAUACAAUGUAAUAACGAACAAACACUCUAGACUAGAUCAACCCAAAUGAAUUACACGCCGCUAGCCAAUCAAGUUGUAACACAAUAAGGGGAGUCCCCUUAAAGACCUUGGAACAAAAAGCCCAAAGAGAAGCAAGGAAAUGAAUAGAAUCCCAAAGAUUCUCUGAAUUCCUUGUUUUAUCCUCAAAAAUCCUCGCGUUUCUUUCCCGCCACACAACCCAAAUUAUAGCUAUGCACUUUAUGCUUAUAUUUGAUUUUAGAAUUUCUUUUCCAGCCUUGUCAUCCUUGUGGGGAUGCAUACCUUGAUUUGAUAUUAAUAUCUUGAGUCUAUCAUCUUGUCCCCCCACCCAACAAACACACACAAAAAGAAUCUGGUGAAAUGUUUUUUAUCCUUUACUUCUUUCUUAAGCUUCUAUAAGUUCAAUUUGUUUGCAUGUGGUGCAAUAAUUCAGGAUUAGUUGCUAACCCCUUAAGCAUUGAAUAAUUCCUGAACGAGCAAUGCUAUAAGAAUUUUCAACCUGGCAUUCGACCAUUCAAACUUGCAGGGAAAUAAUCUUCCAGCCCAUUUCCCUUUAACCUAAAAGCAAAAACACCAGCAGCCAUUAACUUCAAACACUGUUAUUUUCAAAACAAUUUAUGUGGAACUUUUGUAGAUGCUGUUUGUAAGAAAUGCAUUGUCCUUAUUCAUUCCAAAUAAUUUUGAGAAUGAAAAAAUGUGUAUUAUUGCCAAAUGUACUUUGAUUUUUGUAAAAGUUUGUAAGAAAAGCAACCAGUCCUUAUUUUCCCUUUUCCCUUCCAUUCUUUGAUAGAUGGGUAUUGUCAUUCUUGAAUCAUUUCAAAUACUUUGAGAAUGAAUAUAUAUGCUUAUUGUUUGCAAAUGUUUAUUCCCAACACCCCCCCACCACACAUCCAGAUUCCUUCCUGAGUUUCCAAACUACUCCCAAAACUGGAUCUAUGUUUUGUUGUUACAGCUACCUAUCAAAAAAUAAAAAAAUGUUUUGUUGUUGUCACAGCUAGCUUCCUAACAAGUGACUGUAGUUUUGGUGGCUGUUUAUACUAGCAUAUCAUUCUGUUUCCUGGACUUAUACUUUGGCUUUUCUCUUUGUCCAAUCAGAGUGAGAAUAUGACAAAUAAGUGGCAUGUGUACAUGACCAAGGACGGGAGGAUCUCAUUGGCUGGAUUGUCUUUGGCCAAAUGCGAAUAUCUUGCAGAUGCCAUCAUUGAUUCAUUUCACUGUGUCAGUUGAUAUCGGUGGAUGGAUGAUAGAUAUGCAUUUUACAAGCACACAAUUGAUCAUACUGGGUGAGUCCUGAAUUCCCUAGCAAUUAUUCCAUUCAGACUUUUUGCAAAAUCUUGUAAUAAUUUAUGAUAUCUGACUCUCUGAAUUCCUGCAUUUGAAGUUCAUAAUUGAGGCAAUUUUGUUACAUUCUAGUAAUUGAAGAAGCACACCUGAGGCAGAGUUUUGUGAUUUUUUACUUAGGUGUCUAAUCAGAUGCUCCUAUUUGUUUUUUAAAACAAAAACAAAAACAAAAAAACCGUACUUCAACUUGGUGGAAAACCAAUGUUUUGAAAACCGAACUGAUCAGUCAGUCCAACCAUUACCUGAACUUGGCGAUUCCGUGUAAAUCGAACAGUUCAAUCCCCCUUCUUUCAUCAAAGAGGCCCAGAAGAGAGCCCUG